RNAcentral lists this ribosomal RNA (484 nucleotides) under uncultured bacterium. RNAcentral's name for it is "partial 16S ribosomal RNA". It matches the Rfam family "Bacterial small subunit ribosomal RNA", at positions 29 to 507 of the family's 1533-position model. The record is from RNAcentral.
AUUGAACGCUGGCGGCAUGCUUUACACAUGCAAGUCGAACGGCAGCGCGGGCUUCGGCCUGGCGGCGAGUGGCGAACGGGUGAGUAAUGCAUCGGAACGUGCCCAGUAGUGGGGGAUAGCCCGGCGAAAGCCGGAUUAAUACCGCAUACGACCUGAGGGUGAAGGCGGGGGACCGAAAGGCCUCGCGCUAUUGGAGCGGCCGAUGUCGGAUUAGCUAGUUGGUGGGGUAAAGGCUUACCAAGGCGACGAUCCGUAGCUGGUCUGAGAGGACGACCAGCCACACUGGAACUGAAACACGGCCCAGACUCCUACGGGAGGCCGCAGGAGGGAAUUUUGCACAAUGGGCGAAAGCCUGACCGAGCAACGCCGCGGGAGGGAAGAAGGUCUUCGGAUCGUAAAACUCUGUUAUUAGGGAAGAACAUCUGUGGAAGUAACCGUGGGGGGCUUGACGGUACCGAAUAAGAAAGCCACGGCUAACUACGUG